AGCAAUGAUAGCCUAGGUGGUUAUAGUGCUUGCUGGUUGAUCUGACUGGUAUUAUGCAAUCUGUGACCAUCACGUCGUGUGUUCGAAUCUCACUUUUGCUA
Non-coding RNA from Mycena metata, 101 nucleotides. The record is from the annotation of a GenBank genome assembly. NCBI's taxonomy places the organism in Eukaryota, Fungi, Basidiomycota, Agaricomycetes, Agaricales, Mycenaceae.